UUUGGUGGCGAUAGCGAAGAGGUCACACCCGUUCCCAUUCCGAACACGGCAGUUAAGCUCUUCAGCGCCGAUGGUAGUUGGGGGUUUCCC
RNAcentral lists this ribosomal RNA (90 nucleotides) under Peribacillus simplex. The record is from RNAcentral. RNAcentral also lists the same sequence under 1 other name. Lineage: Bacteria; Bacillati; Bacillota; Bacilli; Caryophanales; Bacillaceae.